This is a long non-coding RNA of Syngnathus acus (greater pipefish), 878 nucleotides long. RefSeq lists it as uncharacterized. The record is from RefSeq and is a predicted model, not a curated record. NCBI's taxonomy places the organism in Eukaryota, Metazoa, Chordata, Actinopteri, Syngnathiformes, Syngnathidae. The transcript is spliced from 4 exons.
ACGAAAAUGUCACCUGAAGUGACACGAGGAAAAUGUGGUGCUUGAAAGGGGAUACAAAAUGUACUUUUGAUUGUUUGUAUAUAGAUUGUUGGUUGUGUGGCCACCCACCAAGUGUGAAAUUAACCAAGCAAGAGUUAAAUUAGCCAGUGGUGGCUUCAGGCAGGGAAAAUAAAAGCUGCGUGAAGAGAAGGGGGGGCUGGGCUGUGACUUCCCGAGCCUACUCUCCAUUCUCAUCGGUCACUGCCAAGCACUCUCCGCAGGACCGGAGCCACUGAAUUAUUGAAGACGCCACCGUCCCAAAGACAGGAAGACAUCACCUCCCUUCAUCUUAGCUGUCAAGAUAACAUCUUGUUGACUUCACCCGAGACUCAAGAUUGUAUUUUGACCAGCGCCGAUCAUCCCUCUAGCAGACAGCGCUCAGCGCCGGCUCGCCCACCUUGGAGAUCUUAUUAAGCACGGCGAGAGAGGGAUGGUGCGGAAUAGGAAUGGGAAGAUAGACGGACGAGACAAGGAUCACAAGACGGAGAAGGUGAUAUCGGAUGGGUACAGCCUGGACUGAUCACGUCAACCACAUCGUUUUUGGUGUGCAUGACCAUGAAUACACAUGUUCUUCCUAAUAAAGUCUUGAAGAUGGUCCAUUAUUUCCUACAGGAAGAAUUGUUCUGAAAUGAGGUUUGAUGUUCUAGUGUACUCUCACACUUUUACUACCAAAGCACUCUGCCAAGCCAACAGCUGUUUGUCGCUUUUUUUUUUUGUCACAGUUUAUGACUGCAACAUAUUGUGGCAAAGUGUUUUGUGGUGAGAGCUGAAAUGAUCCCGCGACUGAGCUUGGUUGUACGAUAGUUGCUAGAAACCUCAAAAUACUGCUUGCUGACAUA